RNAcentral lists this ribosomal RNA (450 nucleotides) under uncultured bacterium. RNAcentral's name for it is "bacterial SSU rRNA". It matches the Rfam family "Bacterial small subunit ribosomal RNA", at positions 331 to 795 of the family's 1533-position model. The record is from RNAcentral.
CCAGACUCCUACGGGAGGCAGCAGUGGGGAAUAUUGCACAAUGGGCGAAAGCCUGAUGCAGCAACGCCGCGUGAAGGAAGAAGGGUUUCGGCUCGUAAACUUCUAUCAACAGGGACGAAAGAAAUGACGGUACCUGAAUAAGAAGCCCCGGCUAACUACGUGCCAGCAGCCGCGGUAAUACGUAGGUGGCGAGCGUUAUCCGGAAUUACUGGGUGUAAAGGGUGUGUAGGCGGGAGUGCAAGUCAGACGUGAAAACUAUGGGCUCAACCCAUAACGUGCGUUUGAAACUGUGCUUCUUGAGAGUGGGAGAGGUAAACGGAAUUCCUGGUGUAGUAGUGAAAUGCGUAGAUAUCAGGAGGAACACCGGUGGCGAAGGCGGUUUACUGGACCACAACUGACGCUGAGACACGAAAGCGUGGGGAGCAAACAGGAUUAGAUACCCCCGUAACC